GCCGGAGUGGCGGAACGGCAGACGCAGCCGACUCAAAAUCGGCCGCCCGAGGAGGGCGUGUGGGUUCGAAUCCCACCUCCGGCA
This 84-nucleotide transfer RNA is filed under the name Pseudomonadota bacterium. RNAcentral describes it as "tRNA-Leu". It matches the Rfam family "tRNA". From Rfam's summary of the family: Transfer RNA (tRNA) molecules are approximately 80 nucleotides in length. Their secondary structure includes four short double-helical elements and three loops (D, anti-codon, and T loops). Further hydrogen bonds mediate the characteristic L-shaped molecular structure. tRNAs have two regions of fundamental functional importance: the anti-codon, which is responsible for specific mRNA codon recognition, and the 3' end, to which the tRNAs corresponding amino acid is attached (by aminoacyl-tRNA synthetases). tRNAs cope with the degeneracy of the genetic code in two manners: having more than one tRNA (with a specific anti-codon) for a particular amino acid; and 'wobble' base-pairing, i.e. permitting non-standard base-pairing at the 3rd anti-codon position. Lineage: Bacteria; Pseudomonadati; Pseudomonadota. RNAcentral also lists the same sequence under 1 other name. The record is from RNAcentral.